AAGGACAACAGAUUAGAUUCCUACCCUUAAAAACAAGCGCCGUUCUCCUCUUCUUCUUGCUCACUUCUAACAGAGACAGAGAAAUGGUGGAGACCCUUCCCCCAUUUUAAAAACACUAAGUCACCUCUUCUUCUCUCUUCUUCAUCCUCUCUAAAAACCCUUUCCUCCACCCAAAGACCAUUAUAAACCCCCAUUAGAACUAGCUCUCUCACACCACAAAACCAAUCCAAAACAAGCUCGGAUUAACCCCAAAAAUGACCUCAGAACAGCUCCAAUAAUGAGCUAAAAACUGUCCCAAAACCAGUGUUAAACCACCACCAAAUCAGCUCCAAAACCCCCCAUUAAAACCAGCUCAAAUGAAGUUCCAAACAUAGCUAGAACAUACCUGAAACCAAGCUCAAAAUUAACCUCAAAUCAGCCCCAAAAUGGUUGUGUUAUUGCUGGAAAAUCAGCAACGGAACAACCUUGAAACCAAGCUAGCUUAAGAUUCUACUCUCUUGCUCUAUUUUUUUUUUGGAAAUUCAAGUGCGAACAAGUUUGAGAAGUGCAAUUUGCUGCUGUUGAUCGCUGAAAUUUUUGCUGAGCCUCGAUCGAGUUUGUCUCGGCUUUUAGUCAGUUUAUUCGAGUUUUCUUGUUCAACCAGGUUAGUACGAAGAUUCUAUGUAUUAUGCUUUUAGUAAAUGAUUAAACAAUUGAGUUCAUGCUUAAACUUGAAGAUCCUCUCGAUUCCUGAUUUUUUUUAUUAUCAUGUGUAGUGGAUGUUUGCAUAAUAGUUAAUUUUAGUUAGAUAGUAUUUUAAGUCUAGUAUUUGAUAAUUUUGCUGUGACAGUGAUGAGUUAUGUGUUACUUCAGUUGGAACUGGGCUUGUGAGAAUAUUUGUUUUCCAGUUUUGUUUAAACUCGCAAGAAUUAGUUCUAGAGAUUUGAACUUCUGCUGUAUUUUUGUUCUUUUUCUUUUGUUUGUUUGGGCCUGAUAAGUAUUCGGCUCAGCUGAAGUAGUAGGUGGCAGAAGAGUUCAUGUGAACUCCGAAAUGAGCUUUCUAGCCAUUUUCAAAAGCAUCUCAAGACUAGGUAAUAAGCCCGUGAAGUUUAGUUUGAAAUUUGUUUGGGCCAAUUUGACUCAGCAGAUUCAUUUUGAAUGAGGGCUUAACGCUCAAUUUUAUUUUCUAAAGUCAAGGUUUCUUUUAAUCACAGUAUUCCUUUCAUUCUUAAUCAAUUAUCUCUACCUUUUGUUAGAUUAACCAACCAUUCGGAAGAUUAGGAGUUAACCCAACAAUGAAUUAUCCUUCGCAAACAGAGCUUUGAUUCAUCUAUUAAACAAUUAGGAUUACUUCUUUAAGCUCAUGAUAGUUCCUAUAAUCAUACCUUGUACUAAGCUUGAAACAAAUACAAUUUAGGAAACUAGCUAACCUAAUAUUCAUGAACACCGUAGUUUGCUUUAGGGGUGAUUAAUUUUAAAUCAUCACGGCUAUGGGUACGUUUCCUGUGGCAUAGUCGUGAUACAUAAUUCCCAAAUUCGGGUAUGCAUUUCAUGUGAUCCAAUCAUAACAACUUCGAAUAAUAUUAACAAAAAUAAAUAUAUCGCGAAUCGCGGGUGCAUUUCAUGUAACGCGGUUUGCGGUGUGUUCCAAAACGACAAAUGUACAACAAUCGUAACUUGUUCAAGAAAUAAUUCCAUAAAUCCUAAAAGCGGUAAAAAUAAUUAAAAAGCGGUUAUAAAGUUAAAAAUGCAGAAUAGGUUUAAAACAUGCAAUUAAUCAAAUAAUAGGCCAAUUUUAAUAGUUUAAGCGACCGUGCUCGAACCAUGGAACCCGGGAAUGCCUAACACCUUCUCCCGGGUUAACAGAAUUCCGUAUCUAGAGUUUCUGGUUCGCACACUUUUAAAUAAAGUCAUAAAUUUCUUCGACUUGGGAUUUUAAAAUGAACUGGUGACUUGGGACACCCAAAUAAAUUAUCUCAAGUGGCGACUCUAAAAUAAAUAAGUAAUCCCAUUUCGAAUAAUAUCACUUUAAUUAGAAAAACUCCCUUAUGUCUGCCUUCGGGUGGUAAAAAGGAGGUGUGACAAUAGCCUACGCGUCGAGACAACUCAAGGCUCACAAGAAGAUUAUCCAACUCAUGAUCUUGAAUUAGCAGCUGUGGUGUUUGCGCUUAAGAUCUGGCGCCAUUAUUUAUAUGGGGUACAUGUUAACAUUUUUACAGAUCACAAGAGUCUCCAGUACAUCUUCAAGCAAAGAGAAUUAAAUCUACAUCAGAGAAGGUCGCUCGAAUUAUUUAAAGAUUAUGAUGUUGAUAUCCUCUAUCAUUCGAGGAAGCAAAUGUUGUAGCCAAUGCUCUCAGUCGGCGUUCUAUGGGAAGCUUAGCUCAUGUUAAGGCAGACAAGCAAACUAUGAUGAAGGAAGUCCACCGCUUAGCAAGUCUAGGAGUUCGACUUUUGGACUCCAAAGAUGGUGGUGUUGUUCUCCAGAAUAGGGCUGAAUCCUCCUUAGCAGCCGAAGUAAAGGAAAAAUAGUUCAAUGGUCCCUACUUAUUGCAGCUGAAGGAGAGAAUUCACAAACACAAGACUAUGGCUUUUAAAAAAGGGGGAGGUGAUGGUACUCUGAGGUACAGAGGCAGACUAUGCGUUCCAGACGUAGAUGGGCUCAGAGAGCAGAUUAUGUCAGAAGCCCACAAUUCCAGGUAUUCUAUUCACCCAGGUUCCACAAAGAUGUAUCAUGAUCUUAAGGAGGUUUAUUGGUGGAACGAUAUGAAAAAGAAUAUAGUAGAUUUCGUAGCUAAGUGUCCAAAUUGUCAACAGGUGAAAGUCGAACACCAGAAACCUGGCGGUUUAACUUAGAAUAUAGAAAUUCCCAUCUGGAAAUGGGAGAUGAUAAACAUGGACUUCAUAACAGGUAUACCUCGCUCGUUCCAGAAGCAUGAUUCGAUUUGGGUAAUUGUAGACAGACUUACCAAGUCAGCUCACUUCUUGCCAGUGAAUACUACAGAUUAUGCCGAGGAUUAUGCCAAGUUGUAUAUCAAAGAAAUUGUCCGAUUGCAUGGGACUCCUUUGUCCAUUAUCUCAUAUCGUUGUGCUCAGUUCAUAGCAAACUUUUGGAAAUCCUUUCAGAAGGGAUUGGGCACAAGGGUGAACCUCAGCACCGCUUUUCAUCCUCAGAUAGAUGGCCAGGCGGAAAGCACUAUUCAGACUCUUGAGGAUAUGUUGAGGGCUUGUGUUAUUGAUUUUAAAGGUAAUUGGGACGAUCAUCUACCUCUCAUUGAGUUUGCUUAUAAUAACAACUAUCACUCUAGUAUUAAGAUGGCACCGUACGAAGCUCUGUAUGGGCGAAGGUGUAGAUCACCAAUUGGUUGGUUCGAAGUCGGAGAAGCGGAGUUUUUAGGACCUAAUUUGGUCUAUUAGGCUAUGGAGAAAGUCAACUUGAUACAAAGGCAUUUGAAGACGUCUCAAAGUCGCCAAAAGUCCUAUUCGGACGUGCGGCGUAGAGACUUAGAGUUCCAAGUUGAUGAUUGGGUGUUUCUGAAAGUAUCGCCCAUGAAAGGUGUUAUGAGAUUUGGGAAGAAGGGGAAGCUUAGUCCCGGCUAUAUUGGUCCAUAUAGAAUAUGGCGAAGGAUCAGACAAGUGGUUUAUGAGUUAGAAUUGCCACAAGAACUAGCUGCUGUACACCCAGUGUUUUAUGUGUCCAUGUUGAAGAAAUUCAUGGGAGUCCCGUCACUUGUGGUUCCUACAGAGAUUAUAGGGGUUAAAGACAACCCGUCUUACGAAGAAAUUUCAGUGGCUAUUCUUGAUCGUCAAAUCCGCAAGCUUAGAACUAAGGAAAUUGCUUCAGUAAAAGUGCUUUAGAGAAAUCAAAAGGUUGAAGAGGCUACAUGGGAAGCCGAGGAGGACAUGAAGUCCAUAUAUCCCCAUCUCUUUGAAGAGCAAAAGAAAAAUGUAGAAGGUAAUUAACCUUUCCAUUCAGGUCUUAUAUUAUAAUCUCCAUGUCCUUCACUAUUUACGCAGCUUAGUAUUUAGUGAUCACGUGCUCGUUCAGUAUGAUAUACGUGUAUUCAUGAUAUUUCAGUUGCAUAUCUCUAUCACACCCGUUCAAUGUCCAUAUAUAGUCGUAGUUGCAGCCAGGACAAUCAUUCGAGGACGUAUGAUCCCAAGUGGGAGAUAAUGUAAUACCCCGUAAAUUUGAAUCAGUUGUGGAUGUAUUAAAUAAGUAUUAAUACGAUUGUUAUCAAUUGGUUAUGAUAAUAAGUGUACGAGGCAUAUCAUAAGUGAUUUGGGGUCCAAGGAGAGGCCUAAGUCUAAGUCAAGUUUGAAAAUUUUAUGAUAGACUAAAAUUCCAAAUGAGCACGCACAGGACAAAACUUUUCACGAGCAUAUCUACAUUUAUAUAAGGUGUUAUAUGAUGCACAACAUAUGAAAUGAAAUAUAUUUGAGUCUAGUUUCCAACGCUUCAAAUCGUUCGUCAUUUGGACACUCCUAUCAGAAGUUAUGACCAAAUUACCAAAAGCUCACAGAAUUUUACACUAUCACGCCGCCACAUGCGUCGCCCCAUGCGGCGUGGCUGUGUAGAUUAACAAAGCACCUCCAAAUUUCGUUUCUAGACACAUUUUUCAUUACCGCGCUGCCCCAUGCGCCGCGGCUGUGCAAAUCUUCAUUUUUUUUUCAACCCAACCUUAUUUUGAUAUAAAACCUUGGGGGGGGGGGGGGGGUUAUUUUUUCCACUUCAUUUGGACGAAUUUUAGCGUUUUCCUCCACUCUCUCAAGACCUCCAACACCUCCCAUCUUCAAGGUAAGCAAUCCCCAUUAUCUUGGUGUGAAUUCCAUUAUUUAUACACGAGUAUUGAUGAAAUCUACACAUAAAAUACUUAGAUCUUCAAGGGAUUUNNNNNNNNNNNNNNNNNNNNNNNNNCUUCAAGAACUCAAAGGAGGGUUUUGCAAGAUUUCUUCCAAAAAGGUAAUCCUACACCCUUAGACUUAGAUGUAUGGAUUUAUUAAGGGAAUAUGAGUAUGAAUAAGUAUUGGAACUCUUGGUAUGGUGAUUGAAAACCAUAAGUUCCCAAUUUGAUUACACAACUAUUAUAGAGAUUGAAAGAUGUUUAUUUAGUGGAACUUUGUUGGUUGGGUAUGGAUGGAUGGUCAUAUAUGUGAUUUUGGAAGUUAUAAAUUGGUUAAUCAUGAUGGUGGGAAAAGUUUUUGAUGAAUGGUGAUAGUUAGAUGAACUAAUUAUAUGGUGAUGAGAUGUAGAGAUUUAUGCCUACAAGGUGUUUGAUAAUUUACCUAAAUGGCUUAAGUUAUGGAAUUUGUUACUAAUAUUGGGUUCCAUUGGAUGUUGCUAUUGUAGAUUGAAAGUUCUUAGUAUUGUGGAUCAUUGUAGUAUCACUAAGGGGCAAAAUUAAGGUAUGUAAGGCUAACUCUUUACGUUUGGGAAUGUGUAUGAUUCUCCCUAUGUUCCAUUCAUAUGACCAAUACCAGUUUCCUCAGAAAGUAACUAUGCCUUAGUUCCCUGAAUAGUAGUAGAACUUCUAUUCUCUAGAUGACAUAGUUUCAUAAUUAUUCGAUAUUCUAUGAGUUUCAGUUAUGACAAAUCAACUUAUUAUGAAUGUUCAUCUCGGUCUAAUCAUAUUCACUAUUCCAUUCAUGUAACUAGGUAUGGCUCAUUGUUUCAGUAUCAUGUAUUGCAGUAUAAUUCUCAAUUCCUGAUUCUAAAUUCCUGAAUGUUGAACACCUGUAUUUGGGCCUGAGGCCGUAGUUUAUGCUUUAUGCAUGUUUGGGCCUGAGGUUGUAGUUUAUGCUUUGUACAUUUUUGGGCUUGAGACCGUAGCUUGUGCACACAUAUAUAUUAGGCCCGAGGUCGUAGUUUAUCAGUUAAAUGAGUUGUUCAUCGUUCAGAAGAGGGAGUAUUCAUAUCCUUACUUUUAUGUUCAGUUAUCAGUUUAUCAGCUAGCAGUUCAGUUUCAGUAUCAGUUCAGUUAUCAGUUAUCAUUUCAGUUUCAAUAGUUAUCAUUUAAGUUAUCAAUUAUCAAUUCUCAGUUAUCAGUUUGGUUUCAGUUUCAGCAUUUUUAAUUCUUUCUUUCAGUUGCUUUACAUACCAGCACAAUUCAAAUGUAAUGACGUCCCUUUUUGCCUGGGGCCUGCAUCUCGCGAUGCAGGUAAUGAUUUUCAGGUUGACGAUUCUGCUUGCUAGGACAUCUCGUAUCAGCCAUUGGUGACCCAGUCUUUCGGGGACCUUAUCUCUCUUUUGUUUUAGUCAUUAUAGUAUUUCAGUUAAUAAGGUAUACCGGGGACCUUAUCCCGGUAAACAAUUAACAUUUUCAGUAUUCUUUAGAGGCUUCGUAGACUAUAACCCAGUCAGUCAGAUAUUAGCAGGCUUUCAUGUGUUAGCCUUGUCGGCUACUUGUUUAUACUUGCAGGCCUUUCAGUAUUUUCCGCAUCUAUGAUAUUUCAGUCAAACUCUUUAGUAGAUUAUCAUGUUUUAUAUUUACCUCUAGUUCAUAGUUAUAGAACAUGUUGAUCCAGCCAUACAGUUGGUUCGCUCGGUCACAUGCAGUCAGGCACCGAGUGUUGUGUGACGCCCAGACCAUGGUUCGGGGAGUGAUAGCUGGGAUGUGUGGCCGCACUUGGAAUAGUGAGGACCGCACAUAGUGAGUUCAGAGAAUGUACUAUAUAACUGAGGCUUAAGUUAUUACUUCAUUUUUUGGACCUUGGGAGCUCGGUUUGAAAUGAUUUUUCGUGGGUUUUUCAAGAAAUUUAUCGGGGUAAGUAAUUCUAACUAGGAUUUGGUUAAUAUACAUGAAUAUAUCACUGAUUCCAUCAUUUAAUUAGUACUUUCAGAUGAAAAUUUAGAAAAAAUUAUAGAAACUUCAUAAACCACAAAUUGAGGUUUGAAGGUCAAGUUGUGAUCGGAAUUGGCUAAUUUUGGUAUGGUUGGACUCGUGAGAGAAUUGGUGUUCAUAUUUUGUGAAUUUUACUCGAUUUCGAGACGUGGGCCCCGGGAGGCUUUUUGAGCGAUUUUUACAAUUUCUUGCUUUGGCUUUGAUUUCAUUAGCUAGAUUAGUUCCCUGUAGUUAUAUUUAUGCUAUGUAAUUGAUUUUGGCUAGAUUUGGGUCAUUCAGAGUCGGAUAUUUGUGGAAAGAGCAUUGUGACUGAUUGAUUGAGCUUAGUUCGAGGUAAGUGGCUUGCCUAACCUUGUGUGAGAGAACUCCGCUUAAGAUUUGGUACUAUUUUUUGAUAUGUUAGCGCCGUGUACGUGAGGUGACGAGUACGUACAUGGGCUAAUUGUUGUAAAAAAAACAAUUUUCACUGAAUAAUAAUCUGUUCUUCUUCUUAUUUGAGUUAUAUCAGCAUGUGUAGUAUCCUGUUAGCUUAGAAUAGCAUGUCUACUUGCCUUAAUUGCUUAUCUGAACUCUGUACAACAUGUUUAGUGAAAUUCUUGUUUCUCCUUGACUUGUGUUUAGUCUAAACUGUAGGUUCUCUUACUGUAACUGUUAUUUCUGUUGUUUGAGCUGCAUAUUUACUUUGGGACUACGGAACGGUAUUCCGGUAGAUCCCCCCUGUUCUGCAUAUUUACUUUGGAACUACGGAGCGAUAUUUCAGUAGAUCCUCCUCAUGUUCUGCAUAUUUACUUUGGGACUACAGAACGGUAUUCUGGUAGAUCCCCUUGCACAUUUAUGUUUGGGACUACGAGACGGUAUCUCGGGAGAUCCCCUAUUAUUAUCACUGUAUUAUGAGCUAUUUUCUUUCAUUUAUUCUAUCUUCGUUAGAUUUUCGUAUCUAUUUUUACUACGAUAUUUCAUUCUAUCUUAUUUUAUUAUAUUUAUACCAGUAGGGCCCGGAUCUUAUCUCGUCACUACUCGACCGGGGUUAGGCUUGGCAUUUACUGGGUACUGUUGUGGUGUACUCAUGUCCUUUCCUGCAUAUAUUUUUCGUGUGCAGAUCCAGGUUCAUUUUACCAGCCUCAUCACUAGUUGCAGUCGCUGCUGCUUAUUGGAGACUUCAAGGUACAUCUGCCCGCACUCACAGAUCCUCGGAGUCCCCCUCUAUUCCAUUAUGUUCAUCUUUCCUUCUUUCUGUAGAGAUGAUGUAUAGAAUAGUUAAGACUUCCUAGUAGAUUGUGACUUACAGUAUUUCGGGUUUUGAAAAAUUAUUUGGUACAUUUCAGAAGUGAUAAUUGUAUAUGCCGAGUG
Molecule: long non-coding RNA, 8168 nt
Filed under: Nicotiana tabacum (common tobacco)
Lineage: Eukaryota; Viridiplantae; Streptophyta; Magnoliopsida; Solanales; Solanaceae
Description: long non-coding RNA (NTAB_LNC001102)
Source: RNAcentral